Molecule: ribosomal RNA, 235 nt
Filed under: uncultured bacterium
Lineage: Bacteria
Description: partial 16S ribosomal RNA
Rfam family: Bacterial small subunit ribosomal RNA
Source: RNAcentral
UGAGCAAUCUGCCCUUCUCUUCGGAAUAAGCGUGGGAAACCGCGUCUAAUGCCGAAUACGACCUCCUUUCGCAUGAUCGGAGGUGGAAAGCCCCGGCGGAGAAGGAUGAGCUCGCGGCCUAUCAGCUAGUUGGUGUGGGUAAUGGCCCACCAAGGCGACGACGGGUAGCCGGCCUGAGAGGGUGACCGGCCACGCUGGGACUGAGACACGGCCCAGACUCCGUACGGGAGGCAGC